Molecule: ribosomal RNA, 253 nt
Filed under: uncultured bacterium
Lineage: Bacteria
Description: partial 16S ribosomal RNA
Rfam family: Bacterial small subunit ribosomal RNA
Source: RNAcentral
UACGUAGGGGGCAAGCGUUGUCCGGAAUCAUUGGGCGUAAAGAGCGUGUAGGCGGCCCGGUAAGUCCGCUGUAAAAGUCAAAGGCUCAACCUUUGAAUGUCAGUGGAUACUGCCGGGCUAGAGUCCGGAAGAGGCGAGUGGAACUCCUGGUGUAGCGGUGGAAUGCGCAGAUAUCAGGAAGAACACCAACGGCGAAGGCAGCUCGCUAGGACGGUACUGACGCUGAGACGCGAAAGCGUGGGGAGCAAACAGG